RNAcentral lists this transfer RNA (71 nucleotides) under Asthenognathus inaequipes. RNAcentral's name for it is "tRNA-Leu". It matches the Rfam family "tRNA". From Rfam's summary of the family: Transfer RNA (tRNA) molecules are approximately 80 nucleotides in length. Their secondary structure includes four short double-helical elements and three loops (D, anti-codon, and T loops). The record is from RNAcentral. Lineage: Eukaryota; Metazoa; Arthropoda; Malacostraca; Decapoda; Varunidae.
UCUAAAAUAGCAAAUUUUAAUGCGUAGGAUUUAAGCUCCUAAGAUGAAGAUAAUCAACUCUUCUUUUAGAA